RNAcentral lists this unclassified non-coding RNA (203 nucleotides) under Hevea brasiliensis (rubber tree). The record is from RNAcentral. Lineage: Eukaryota; Viridiplantae; Streptophyta; Magnoliopsida; Malpighiales; Euphorbiaceae.
CUGACAUUCCUGGUAAUGUUGAGAAUGUCAGGAACCUUUUAAAUCAUCCAGCAUUUGACCUGCGCAAUCCAAACAAGGUAUACUCGCUCAUUGGAGGAUUUUGCAGUUCUCCUGUGAAUUUCCAUGCAAAGGAUGGAUCAGGCUAUCAGUUCUUAGGCGAGAUAGUGGCGCAAUUAGACAAAAUUAAUCCUCAGGUGGCCUCC